This 86-nucleotide transfer RNA is filed under the name Niveomyces insectorum RCEF 264. RNAcentral's name for it is "Sporothrix insectorum RCEF 264 tRNA". It matches the Rfam family "tRNA". From Rfam's summary of the family: Transfer RNA (tRNA) molecules are approximately 80 nucleotides in length. The record is from Rfam by way of RNAcentral. Lineage: Eukaryota; Fungi; Ascomycota; Sordariomycetes; Hypocreales; Cordycipitaceae.
GCCUUCGUGGCUAAAUGGUAAAGCGUCCCACUCGUAACGAAAAAGUUUCAAUGGGAAGAUCCUCGGUUCGAUUCCGAGCGAGGGCA